AAAAAGAAAGCGCCAGAACCAACGUUGAAGUUCGAAAUGUAAAGUUCGAAGUUCGAGGAUGGAAGUUCUAGGACGGAAAUUCGAGGAUGGAAGUUCAGGGUUCGAAGUUCGAGGAUCAGAGAUCAGGGGCCGCGGAUCGCGGAUCCGGGGCGGAAGAUCGAAGAUCAGGUUGGUUGACGAGGAAGAGGGUUAUCGAAAGUUUCGGCGGAUCCCUCUCGGUGGCUUGCCAUCGUUAAGUUUGCCGCAAAACCGGGGAGCAAUUCCCGCGACAAAAAGCAAACCCGCAAGACAA
This 292-nucleotide non-coding RNA is filed under the name Acididesulfobacillus acetoxydans. Its description in RNAcentral is "glmS". It matches the Rfam family "glmS glucosamine-6-phosphate activated ribozyme aptamer". Rfam says of the family: This entry contains a glucosamine-6-phosphate activated ribozyme that is found in the mRNA for GlmS. The record is from RNAcentral. Lineage: Bacteria; Bacillati; Bacillota; Clostridia; Eubacteriales; Peptococcaceae.